AGUGAACGCUGGCGGCGUGCCUAAUACAUGCAAGUCGAACGGAAUUUAAAAGAGCUUGCCCUUUUAAAUUUAGUGGCGCACGGGUGAGUAAUAUAUAGCUAAUCUGCCCCUUGCUGGAGGACAACAGUUAGAAAUGACUGCUAAUACUCCAUACUCCUUUUUACCAUAAGAUAAAUCGGGAAAGAAUUUCGGCAAGGGAUGAGACUAUAUCGUAUCAGCUAGUCGGUGGGGUAACGGCCUACCGAGGCUAUGACGCGUAACUGGUCUGAGAGGAUGAUCAGUCACAUUGGAACUGAGACACGGUCCAAACUCCUACGGGAGGCAGCAGUAGGGAAUAUUGCGCAAUGGGGGAAAACCCUGACGCAGCAAACGCCG
RNAcentral lists this ribosomal RNA (375 nucleotides) under Campylobacter gracilis. RNAcentral describes it as "bacterial SSU rRNA". It matches the Rfam family "Bacterial small subunit ribosomal RNA", at positions 29 to 399 of the family's 1533-position model. Lineage: Bacteria; Pseudomonadati; Campylobacterota; Epsilonproteobacteria; Campylobacterales; Campylobacteraceae. The record is from RNAcentral.